UACCGAGGGUGCGAGCGUUAAUCGGAAUUACUGGGCGUAAAGCGCACGUAGGCGGCUUGGUAUGUCGGGUGUGAAAUCCCCGGGCUCAACCUGGGAACUGCAUCCGAAACUGCCUUGCUCGAGUAUGGGAGAGGGAAGUGGAAUUUCCGGUGUAGCGGUGAAAUGCGUAGAUAUCGGAAGGAACAGCAGUGGCGAAGGCGACUUCCUGGACCAAUACUGACGCUCAGGUGCGAAAGCGUGGGGAGCAAACAGG
Molecule: ribosomal RNA, 253 nt
Filed under: uncultured bacterium
Lineage: Bacteria
Description: partial 16S ribosomal RNA
Rfam family: Bacterial small subunit ribosomal RNA
Source: RNAcentral